RNAcentral lists this ribosomal RNA (514 nucleotides) under uncultured bacterium. RNAcentral's name for it is "bacterial SSU rRNA". It matches the Rfam family "Bacterial small subunit ribosomal RNA", at positions 773 to 1284 of the family's 1533-position model. The record is from RNAcentral.
ACGCAAUAGAUACCCGGGUAGUCCACGCCGUAAACGAUGAGUGCUAAGUGUUAGAGGGUUUCCGCCCUUUAGUGCUGCAGCUAAACGCAUUAAGCACUCCGCCUGGGGAGUACGGUCGCAAGACUGAAACUCAAAGGAAUUGACGGGGGCCCGCACAAGCGGUGGAGCAUGUGGUUUAAUUCGAAGCAACGCGAAGAACCUUACCAGGUCUUGACAUCCUCUGACAACUCUAGAGAUAGAGCGUUCCCCUUCGGGGGACAGAGUGACAGGUGGUGCAUGGUUGUCGUCAGCUCGUGUCGUGAGAUGUUGGGUUAAGUCCCGCAACGAGCGCAACCCUUGAUCUUAGUUGCCAGCAUUUAGUUGGGCACUCUAAGGUGACUGCCGGUGACAAACCGGAGGAAGGUGGGGAUGACGUCAAAUCAUCAUGCCCCUUAUGACCUGGGCUACACACGUGCUACAAUGGAUGGUACAAAGGGCUGCAAGACCGCGAGGUCAAGCCAAUCCCAUAAAACCA